AGGCAGCAGUGGGGGAUAUUGGACAAUGGGGGGAACCCUGAUCCAGCGACGCCGCGUAAGUGAAGAAGUAUUUCGGUAUGUAAAGCUCUAUCAGCAGGGAAGAAAGAAAUGACGGUACCUGAGUAAGAAGCCCCGGCUAACUACGUGCC
RNAcentral lists this ribosomal RNA (149 nucleotides) under uncultured bacterium. RNAcentral's name for it is "partial 16S ribosomal RNA". It matches the Rfam family "Bacterial small subunit ribosomal RNA", at positions 346 to 509 of the family's 1533-position model. The record is from RNAcentral.